GAGCGAACGCCUGACAAGAUUUAUGAGGCUUCGGGAGGCAUGAUCCCGAAAAGUGGAAACCGGUUUUCGGAAAAGAUCAUGCCCAGAAAAGUUACGCGACGACCUUGAGCCCGACGAUUCCGGCGACGAUCAGUCCGAUGCAGAUGAUGCGGAGGGUGGUCGCCGGGUCACCCAGCAGCCAGAUGCCGAGGAUGGCGGUUCCGACCGUGCCGAUACCGGUCCAGACUGCGUAGGCGGUGCCGACCGGCAGCGGC
RNAcentral lists this unclassified non-coding RNA (254 nucleotides) under Hevea brasiliensis (rubber tree). Lineage: Eukaryota; Viridiplantae; Streptophyta; Magnoliopsida; Malpighiales; Euphorbiaceae. The record is from RNAcentral.